AACGAACGCUGGCGGCAGGCUUAACACAUGCAAGUCGAACGCUCGUGGCAACACGGGAGUGGCGGACGGGUGAGUAACGCGUGGGAACGUGCCCUGAGGUUGGGAAUAACUGCGGGAAACUGCAGCUAAUACCUGAUGAGCCCCGAGAGGGGGAAAGAUUUUAUCGCCUUGGGAGCGGCCCGCGUCGGAUUAGCUAGUUGGUGGGGUAACGGCCUACCAAGGCUUCGAUCCGUAGCUGGUCUGAGAGGACGAUCAGCCACACUGGGACUGAGACACGGCCCAGACUCCUACGGGAGGCAGCAGUGGGGAAUCUUGCGCAAUGGGGGCAACCCUGACGCAGCCAUGCCGCGUGAAUGAUGAAGGCCUUAGGGUUGUAAAGUUCUUUUGCCCGUGACGAUGAUGACGGUAACGGGAGAAUAAGCUCCGGCUAACUUCGUGCCAGCAGCCGCGGUAAU
This 455-nucleotide ribosomal RNA is filed under the name uncultured bacterium. Its description in RNAcentral is "bacterial SSU rRNA". It matches the Rfam family "Bacterial small subunit ribosomal RNA", at positions 29 to 524 of the family's 1533-position model. The record is from RNAcentral.